RNAcentral lists this ribosomal RNA (95 nucleotides) under Perkinsus marinus ATCC 50983. The record is from RNAcentral. Lineage: Eukaryota; Perkinsozoa; Perkinsida; Perkinsidae.
GCCAGCGGCCAUACUGCGUCGAAUACACCGGAUCCCAUCCGAACUCCGAAGUUAAGCGCGCAAGCCCGGAUAGUACUGGGGUGGGGACCGCCCGG